AUGAGGCUGAGACCUCAGGGUGCAGCUGAGGGCCACUGCUGGGAGUGGGGUGGGGGUUUCAGGGACCUAUACAGAGCAGACAGAAGCCUGGGACAGAGGCUCAGUCUUCUUGCAUCACAGCUGCAAGUGGGGGGCUCAAGGGUGGGGCAGGGCUUCCCACAGAGGUUUUUGUAUGAGCCUGUGUCACAGUGUCGUGUGUUCGGCGGAGGGACCCAUCUGACCAUCCUAGGUCAGCCCAAGUCCGCACCCUCAGUCACUCUGUUCCCACCCUCCUCUGAGGAGCUCAGCAACAACAAAGCCACACUGGUGUGUCUGGUCAGUGACUUCUACCCUGGAGCCGUGACAGUGGCCUGGAAGGAGAAUGGCAGCCCUGUGUCCCAGGGUGUGGAGACCACCAAGCCCUCCAAACAGAGCAACAACAAGUAUGCGGCCAGCAGCUACCUGAGCGUGUCAGCCAGCAAGUGGAAAUCUGCCAGCCAGUUCAGCUGCCACGUGACACACGAUGGCACCACUGUGGACAAGACAGUGGUCCCCUCAGAGUGUUCCUAGAUCCCUCACUCCACAACUCCCUGGGUUGGAACCACACGACCCUGAACAAAUCUCCCUAACAAACCCCAAUCCAUCUUCCUCCUGAACAGAAUCAUCUGUCAAUAAAAUAUCUGCCUUGUCAAUUAGA
Non-coding RNA from Artibeus jamaicensis (Jamaican fruit-eating bat), 676 nucleotides. Lineage: Eukaryota; Metazoa; Chordata; Mammalia; Chiroptera; Phyllostomidae. The record is from the annotation of a RefSeq genome assembly.